Mizuhopecten yessoensis (Yesso scallop) is the source of this 392-nucleotide long non-coding RNA. RefSeq lists it as uncharacterized. Lineage: Eukaryota; Metazoa; Mollusca; Bivalvia; Pectinida; Pectinidae. The record is from RefSeq and is a predicted model, not a curated record. The transcript has 4 exons.
GUUGUCCACUUGGGAAACACGGUGUUGGUAAUUGUGAUUCAGAGUGUGAUGUAGGGUGUGCCAAUGGUCUGUGUGAUCCAGUGACCGGAAAAUGCGCAUACUGUGCUGAUGGAUACUUUCGGCCUGGAUCUUUAUGCAUAGAAUGUCCCUCAAAUUGUUAUGAUAACGCAUGCAAUGUAGAAUCCGGUGUUUGUUCCGCGUGUACUCCCGGGUAUUAUGGCGGCCGUUGCAAUCAGGCUUGUCUGUUCAACUGUAAGGACAACCGAUGUACGCAAAUCAAUGGAGAGUGUGAAGGCUGUGAAGAUGGAUUCUUCGGAUCGUCCUGUGAUGACUGCUCUGUUGGUUGUACUAGUCCAGUCUGUGACAAAAUAUCAGGAAAUUGUAGUCGUAAG